AGAGUUUGAUCCUGGCUCAGGAUGAACGCUAGCGGCAGGCUUAAUACAUGCAAGUCGAGGGGCAGCAUGUCCCGUAGCAAUACGGGAUGAUGGCGACCGGCAAACGGGUGCGGAACACGUACAGAACCUUCCUUCGAGCGGGGAAUAGCCCAGAGAAAUUUGGAUUAAUACCCCAUAGUAAAUUAGAAAGGCAUCUUUUUAAUUUUAAAGAUUUAUCACUUGAAGAUGGCUGUGCGGCUGAUUAGGUAGUUGGCGGGGUAACGGCCCACCAAGCCUGCGAUCAGUAACUGGUGUGAGAGCACGACCAGUCACACGGGCACUGAGACACGGGCCCGACUCCUACGGGAGGCAGCAGUAAGGAAUAUUGGUCAAUGGACGAAAGUCUGAACCAGCCAUGCCGCGUGGAGGAUGAAGGUCCUCUGGAUUGUAAACU
RNAcentral lists this ribosomal RNA (433 nucleotides) under uncultured bacterium. RNAcentral's name for it is "bacterial SSU rRNA". It matches the Rfam family "Bacterial small subunit ribosomal RNA", at positions 8 to 431 of the family's 1533-position model. The record is from RNAcentral.